This 253-nucleotide ribosomal RNA is filed under the name uncultured bacterium. Its description in RNAcentral is "partial 16S ribosomal RNA". It matches the Rfam family "Bacterial small subunit ribosomal RNA", at positions 524 to 776 of the family's 1533-position model. The record is from RNAcentral.
UACGUAGGGUGCAAGCGUUAAUCGGAAUUACUGGGCGUAAAGCGUGCGCAGGCGGUGAUGUAAGACAGUUGUGAAAUCCCCGGGCUCAACCUGGGAACUGCAUCUGUGACUGCAUCGCUGGAGUACGGUAGAGGGGGACGGAAUUCCGCGUGUAGCAGUGAAAUGCGUAGAUAUGCGGAGGAACACCGAUGGCGAAGGCAAUCCCCUGGACCUGUACUGACGCUCAUGCACGAAAGCGUGGGGAGCAAACAGG